GCUUCAGCAUGUUCCUUGCACUUCGCCUCUGAUGUGGUACAGAUGAAUGUUUGCAUACAUACCUUGCACUGAAUAGACAUCGCUUUCUUGUUGGAAUCCAGUUGGCUCCCUUUGGCGGCGUUCUUCUGCUUCUCCAAGUUGCGCUCGCGCGCCGUCUUCGAUUUCUGCGCGUUGCCGCCCCCCAUCGGAGAUCUCGGUCUAGGGUUUGGUUCUGUUCGGUGGUGGAGA
Molecule: unclassified non-coding RNA, 228 nt
Filed under: Hevea brasiliensis (rubber tree)
Lineage: Eukaryota; Viridiplantae; Streptophyta; Magnoliopsida; Malpighiales; Euphorbiaceae
Source: RNAcentral